GAUGAACGCUAGCGGCAGGCCUAACACAUGCAAGUCGAGGGGUAGCAGGAUUAAGCUUGCUUAAUUGCUGACGACCGGCGCACGGGUGCGUAACGCGUAUGCAACCUACCUUAUACUGGGGUAUAGCCCGGAGAAAUUCGGAUUAAUCCCCCAUAGUACUAAUGAAUCGCAUGGUUUAUUAGUUAAAGCAUUGCGGUAUAAGAUGGGCAUGCGUCCUAUUAGCUAGAUGGUGAGGUAACGGCUCACCAUGGCUACGAUAGGUAGGGGGCCUGAGAGGGUGGUCCCCCACACUGGUACUAGGCCACGGACCAGACUCCUACGGGAGGCAGCAAUGAGGAAUAUUGGUCGAUGGGCGCAAGCCUGAACCAGCCAUGCCGCGUGCAGGAAGAAUGCCCUAUGGGUUGUAAACUGCUUUUAUUUGGGAAUAAACCUCUUUACGUGUAGAGAGCUGAAGGUACCAAAUGAAUAAGCACCGGCUAACUCCGUGCCAGCAGCCGCAGUAA
RNAcentral lists this ribosomal RNA (503 nucleotides) under uncultured bacterium. RNAcentral describes it as "partial 16S ribosomal RNA". It matches the Rfam family "Bacterial small subunit ribosomal RNA", at positions 28 to 523 of the family's 1533-position model. The record is from RNAcentral.